RNAcentral lists this unclassified non-coding RNA (221 nucleotides) under Irpex lacteus. Its description in RNAcentral is "ITS2". Lineage: Eukaryota; Fungi; Basidiomycota; Agaricomycetes; Polyporales; Irpicaceae. The record is from RNAcentral.
GGUAUUCUCAACCCCUAAAUUUUUGUAAUGAAGGUUUAGCGGGCUUGGACUUGGAGGUUGUGUCGGCCCUUGUUGGUCGACUCCUCUGAAAUGCAUUAGCGUGAAUCUUACGGAUCGCCUUCAGUGUGAUAAUUAUCUGCGCUGUGGUGUUGAAGUAUUUAUGGUGUUCAUGCUUCGAACCGUCUCCUUGCCGAGACAAUCAUUUGACAAUCUGAGCUCAA